UACGGAGGGUGCAAGCGUUAAUCGGAAUUACUGGGCGUAAAGCGCACGCAGGCGGUCUGUCAAGUCGGAUGUGAAAUCCCCGGGCUCAACCUGGGAACUGCAUUCGAAACUGGCAGGCUAGAGUCUUGUAGAGGGGGGUAGAAUUCCAGGUGUAGCGGUGAAAUGCGUAGAGAUCUGGAGGAAUACCGGUGGCGAAGGCGGCCCCCUGGACAAAGACUGACGCUCAGGUGCGAAAGCGUGGGGAGCAAACAGGAUUAG
This 258-nucleotide ribosomal RNA is filed under the name uncultured Enterobacterales bacterium. Its description in RNAcentral is "partial 16S ribosomal RNA". It matches the Rfam family "Bacterial small subunit ribosomal RNA", at positions 524 to 781 of the family's 1533-position model. The record is from RNAcentral. Lineage: Bacteria; Pseudomonadati; Pseudomonadota; Gammaproteobacteria; Enterobacterales.